GACUUAAAAUGAUUUACAGUAUUUCCCUGACUCUAUUGCACAAUGCAUCUACGCACACUAGUCCAGUAAAGUACAAUCUAAAAGAAUAAAGUCAGCCUGGCUGGUGAUAAACAGGGGAACCAUUUCCUAAAAAUAAUAAAAUGCUCUGAUUUUCUUAUAGGAAUCAAGAAGAAAAUUGAAGGUCUGAUGGAAGCUGGUCCUUGGUUAGUGAAGUUGCAUUUGCAGAUAAUGGCAUAGAUGGAAGAGGAAACGAAGGAGAAAUGGUUUGUUGGAAUUCAUUCAAACUUUAACAUGCCUGAUCAAAUACUCUGCCCACUUGAGGGAAAGUGACCUUGGAAACAACGUCCUAGGAGAAAUGGCUGCUGCUGACAUACCUGAAGCACUGAGAUCCAGAAAGACAGGUAGAGUGUUUUCAGGCUGUGUGUUUCCCCUCCACCUGCCCACAGCUACUCACUUCUAAAUGCUGUACUACCCACAACUUGCCCCGCUUUUUUCAUUUAAGUAACUGGCCCAAACUAUGUAAUGACUAGGAACACUGUGACAGGCCAGCCAUCAUUCUGUCAAUUUUCCC
This 571-nucleotide long non-coding RNA is filed under the name Callithrix jacchus (white-tufted-ear marmoset). Its description in RNAcentral is "lncRNA (ENSCJAG00000076816.1)". The record is from RNAcentral. Lineage: Eukaryota; Metazoa; Chordata; Mammalia; Primates; Cebidae.